UAAGGAAUAUUGGACAAUGGUCGCAAGACUGAUCCAGCCAUGCCGCGUGCAGGAAGACGGCCCUAUGGGUUGUAAACUGCUUUUGUACCAGAGAAAACCUAUCUACGUGUAGAUAGCUGAUAGUAUGGUAAGAAUAAGCAUCGGCUAACUUCGUGCCAGCAGCCGCGGUAAGACGAAGGAUGCAAGCGUUAUCCGGAUUCAUUGGGUUUAAAGGGUGCGUAGGCGGGCUUGUAAGUCAGUGGUGAAAUCUCUCAGCUUAACUGAGAAACUGCCAUUGAUACUGCAGGCCUAGAGUAUAGAUGACGUUGGCGGAAUAUGACAUGUAGUGGUGAAAUACUUAGAUAUGUCAUAGAACACCGAUUGCGAGGGCAGCUAACGAAACUAUAACUGACGCUGAGGCACGAAAGUGCGGGGAUCAAACA
RNAcentral lists this ribosomal RNA (422 nucleotides) under uncultured bacterium. RNAcentral describes it as "bacterial SSU rRNA". It matches the Rfam family "Bacterial small subunit ribosomal RNA", at positions 355 to 774 of the family's 1533-position model. The record is from RNAcentral.